GGAUCAUUGUCGAGACCCUGCCCAGCAGAAGGACCGGCGAAC
This 42-nucleotide ribosomal RNA is filed under the name Ficus benghalensis (Indian banyan). RNAcentral describes it as "partial 18S ribosomal RNA". Lineage: Eukaryota; Viridiplantae; Streptophyta; Magnoliopsida; Rosales; Moraceae. The record is from RNAcentral.